Streptococcus sp. DD10 is the source of this 110-nucleotide small RNA. It matches the Rfam family "Streptococcus RNA 266". The record is from Rfam. Lineage: Bacteria; Bacillati; Bacillota; Bacilli; Lactobacillales; Streptococcaceae.
AAUGGUAGUUUCGUCGCUUUUCAUUAUAGUUCUUAUGGGACUUUUUGUGUACACUCAAAAAGCUCUAUAAUCUCUACAGUGGUUUUACCCACUACAGAAAUUAUAGAGCC